This 536-nucleotide unclassified non-coding RNA is filed under the name Hevea brasiliensis (rubber tree). Lineage: Eukaryota; Viridiplantae; Streptophyta; Magnoliopsida; Malpighiales; Euphorbiaceae. The record is from RNAcentral.
GUGCCUAUGGAAAGUUCAGUUAAUUCCUCCCUGGGAGAAAAGGGCUUAGACAAUUCAAAAGGUCAGCAGGAGAAGGUCAACAGAAUGGCUGAAGACAUUGUGUUGCCAACUGGAGUUUUAAACUUGAAACGUCCAGCUGAUAGCCCUGUUUCAAGUCUCAACUUUGGUGAUCAUAGUAGCAUGCCUGGAGAUCCUGCAGCCAUGUCUUUGGAGGAUAAGGUGGCAAAGUUUAUUCAGAGCGGAGAUUUGGAUGUCAUUGAAGAUACUUUCUAUGGCAUAUUGGAUGAAAGCACCAAAUAUAGUGAGGGGGUUAAUGAACCAGAGAAUGAGACUGAAAUUCCAUCAAAGACACCUUCAGAAGAGAAAUCUGAACAUGCAGUUAGCAGAAGCAAUGCUGCUUUAGCAUUGAAUGGGAAUAUACCAACAUCCAAGCACAACUUGCCUCCUGUGAGGAUUUACCACCCUGCUAGGAAUGACAGUUUGUCAGAUGAAGGCCCAGCCAGUUCUGAUCUUGACAAGGAUUAUGAUGUUGAGAC